UGAGGAAUAUUCGGCAAUGGGCGCAAGCCUGACCGAGCCAUGCCGCGUGAGUGAAGAAGGCCCUAGGGUUGUAAAGCGCUUUCACCGAUGAAGAUAAUGACGGUAGUCGGAGAAGAAGCCCCGGCUAACUUCGUGCCAGCAGCCGCGGUAAUACGAAGGGGGCUAGCGUUGUUCGGAAUUACUGGGCGUAAAGCGCGCGUAGGCGGACUAUUAAGUCAGGGGUGAAAUCCCGGGGCUCAACCCCGGAACUGCCUUUGAUACUGGUAGUCUUGAGUUCGAGAGAGGUGAGUGGAACUCCGAGUGUAGAGGUGAAAUUCGUAUAUAUUCGGAAGAACACCAGUGGCGAAGGCGGCUCACUGGCUCGAUACUGACGCUGAGGUGCGAAAGUGUGGGGAGCAAACAGGAUUAGAUAC
RNAcentral lists this ribosomal RNA (413 nucleotides) under uncultured prokaryote. RNAcentral describes it as "bacterial SSU rRNA". It matches the Rfam family "Bacterial small subunit ribosomal RNA", at positions 355 to 785 of the family's 1533-position model. The record is from RNAcentral.